GCAUUAUUGAAAGGUGCUUGCAUCUUGAUUUAAUUUUGAACGAGUGGCGGACGGGUGAGUAACACGUGGGUAACCUGCCCUUAAGUGGGGGAUAACAUUUGGAAACAGAUGCUAAUACCGCAUAAAUCCAAGAACCGCAUGGUUCUUGGCUGAAAGAUGGCGUAAGCUAUCGCUUUUGGAUGGACCCGCGGCGUAUUAGCUAGUUGGUGAGGUAACGGCUCACCAAGGCAAUGAUACGUAGCCGAACUGAGAGGUUGAUCGGCCACAUUGGGACUGAGACACGGCCCAAACUCCUACGGGAGGCAGCAGUAGGGAAUCUUCCACAAUGGACGCAAGUCUGAUGGAGCAACGCCGCGUGAGUGAAGAAGGCUUUCGGGUCGUAAAACUCUGUUGUUGGAGAAGAAUGGUCGGCAGAGUAACUGUUGUCGGCGUGACGGUAUCCAACCAGAAAGCCACGGCUAACUACGUGCCAGCAGCCGCGGUAAUACGUAGGUGGCAAGCGUUAUCCGGAUUUAUUGGGCGUAAAGCGAGCGCAGGCGGUUUUUUAAGUCUGAUGUGAAAGCCCUCGGCUUAACCGAGGAAGUGCAUCGGAAACUGGAAAACUUGAGUGCAGAAGAGGACAGUGGAACUCCAUGUGUAGCGGUGAAAUGCGUAGAUAUAUGGAAGAACACCAGUGGCGAAGGCGGCUGUCUGGUCUGUAACUGACGCUGAGGCUCGAAAGCAUGGGUAGCGAACAGGAUUAGAUACCCUGGUAGUCCAUGCCGUAAACGAUGAAUGCUAGGUGUUGGAGGGUUUCCGCCCUUCAGUGCCGCAGCUAACGCAUUAAGCAUUCCGCCUGGGGAGUACGACCGCAAGGUUGAAACUCAAAGGAAUUGACGGGGGCCCGCACAAGCGGUGGAGCAUGUGGUUUAAUUCGAAGCAACGCGAAGAACCUUACCAGGUCUUGACAUCUUUUGAUCACCUGAGAGAUCGGGUUUCCCCUUCGGGGGCAAAAUGACGGGUGG
This 1004-nucleotide ribosomal RNA is filed under the name Lacticaseibacillus rhamnosus. RNAcentral's name for it is "bacterial SSU rRNA". It matches the Rfam family "Bacterial small subunit ribosomal RNA", at positions 57 to 1041 of the family's 1533-position model. The record is from RNAcentral. Lineage: Bacteria; Bacillati; Bacillota; Bacilli; Lactobacillales; Lactobacillaceae.